AUCUCUUCCACUCCUUUGCUUCUCAAGUGAGAGGUGCUUUUCAUAAUUUGGAUCUUGUUGCAUUUGUUUGCAUUUUAUAUAAACAGAUUAAAAAUGCUUGCUCUUUACAAAACUUCAAAUAUAUAUAUUCAACCCAUGGGGGUUAUUGUGAACCAUCAAAGGUAAAGUUGGCACCUUGCCUCUAAAUUAACUUUUCUUCAUGCAAAUCCACCAUCAGACCACCCACCGUG
This 230-nucleotide long non-coding RNA is filed under the name Elaeis guineensis (African oil palm). RNAcentral describes it as "long non-coding RNA (EGUI_LNC002246)". The record is from RNAcentral. Lineage: Eukaryota; Viridiplantae; Streptophyta; Magnoliopsida; Arecales; Arecaceae.